Molecule: ribosomal RNA, 492 nt
Filed under: uncultured bacterium
Lineage: Bacteria
Description: partial 16S ribosomal RNA
Rfam family: Bacterial small subunit ribosomal RNA
Source: RNAcentral
AGUGAACGCUGGCGGUAGGCCUAACACAUGCAAGUCGAACGGCAGCACAGUAAGCUUUUGCUUUUACUGGUGGCGAGUGGCGGACGGGUGAGGAAUACAUCGGCAUCUUCUUUUUCGUGGGGUAUUACGUAGGGAAACUUACGCUAAUACCGCAUACGACCUACGGGUGAAAUCAGGAGAUCUUCGCACCCUGCCCGAUUGAAUGAGCCGAGGCCGGAUUAGCUAGUUGGCGGGGUAAAGGCCCACCAAGCCGAUGAUCCGUAGCCGAUCUGAGAGGAUGAUCAGCCACACUGGAACUGAGACACGGUCCAGACUCCUACGGGAGGCAGCAGUGGGGAAUAUUGGACAAUGGGCGCAAGCCUGAUCCAGCAAUACCGCGUGAGUGAAGAAGGUCUUCGGGUUGUAAAGCCCUGUUGUUGGGAAAGAAAAGAAGCAGGUUAAAACGCCGAUGUUCUGACGGUACCCAAAGAAUAAGCACCGGCUAACUUCGUG